UACGUAGGGUGCGAGCGUUGUCCGGAAUUAUUGGGCGUAAAGAGCUUGUAGGCGGUUUGUCGCGUCUGCUGUGAAAAUCCGGGGCUCAACCCCGGACUUGCAGUGGGUACGGGCAGGCUAGAGUGUGGUAGGGGAGACUGGAAUUCCUGGUGUAGCGGUGAAAUGCGCAGAUAUCAGGAGGAACACCGGUGGCGAAGGCGGGUCUCUGGGCCGAUACUGACGCUGAGGAGCGAAAGCGUGGGGAGCGAACAGG
This 253-nucleotide ribosomal RNA is filed under the name uncultured bacterium. RNAcentral's name for it is "partial 16S ribosomal RNA". It matches the Rfam family "Bacterial small subunit ribosomal RNA", at positions 524 to 776 of the family's 1533-position model. The record is from RNAcentral.